GUGUCAGCAGCCGCGGUAAUACGUAGGGGGCAAGCGUUGUCCGGAUUUAUUGGGCGUAAAGAGCGUGUAGGCGGCCAGACAGGUCCGUUGUGAAAACUGGAGGCUCAACCUCCAGACGUCGAUGGAAACCGUCUGGCUAGAGUCCGGAAGAGGAGAGUGGAAUUCCUGGUGUAGCGGUGAAAUGCGCAGAUAUCAGGAAGAACACCCGUGGCGAAAGCGGCUCUCUGGGACGGUACUGACGCUGAGACGCGAAAGCGUGGGGAGCGAACAGGAGGAUAUACCACCGGAUUAC
Molecule: ribosomal RNA, 292 nt
Filed under: uncultured bacterium
Lineage: Bacteria
Description: partial 16S ribosomal RNA
Rfam family: Bacterial small subunit ribosomal RNA
Source: RNAcentral